This 492-nucleotide ribosomal RNA is filed under the name uncultured bacterium. Its description in RNAcentral is "partial 16S ribosomal RNA". It matches the Rfam family "Bacterial small subunit ribosomal RNA", at positions 29 to 507 of the family's 1533-position model. The record is from RNAcentral.
AGUGAACGCUGGCGGUAGGCCUAACACAUGCAAGUCGAACGGCAGCACAGUAAGAGCUUGCUCUUACGGGUGGCGAGUGGCGGACGGGUGAGGAAUACAUCGGAAUCUACUUUUUCGUGGGGGAUAACGUAGGGAAACUUACGCUAAUACCGCAUACGACCUACGGGUGAAAGCAGGGGAUCUUCGGACCUUGCGCGAUUGAAUGAGCCGAUGUCGGAUUAGCUAGUUGGCGGGGUAAAGGCCCACCAAGGCGACGAUCCGUAGCCGGUCUGAGAGGAUGAUCAGCCACACUGGAACUGAGACACGGUCCAGACUCCUACGGGAGGCAGCAGUGGGGAAUAUUGGACAAUGGGCGCAAGCCUGAUCCAGCCAUACCGCGUGGGUGAAGAAGGCCUUCGGGUUGUAAAGCCCUUUGGUUGGGAAAGAAAAGCAGCAGGUUAAUACCCCGCUGUUCUGACGGUACCCAAAGAAUAAGCACCGGCUAACUUCGUG